UCAGCAGGGACCAGUCAAUGUCCAGUAGCC
This 30-nucleotide non-coding RNA is filed under the name Mus musculus (house mouse). The record is from RNAcentral. Lineage: Eukaryota; Metazoa; Chordata; Mammalia; Rodentia; Muridae.